CCCCUGCUCUGUCUCUCUCUCUCAAAAUAAAUCAACUUUAAAAAAAUAUAUAAUUUUCUGGAAGCAACCCAGAAUUCAGUCUGGAAUCUCUGGGGAAGAACACUUCACUUGUAGUAAGUUUUCCCAGUGACACCAAAGCAUAGUAACAUUUGAGAACCACUUGUUCCAGAUCGAACGGAUAGCAUAAACUGUCUUUGACAUCAUAUAAAAACAAGGACAGAGAAACCACCUCUAUCCAUCUCAACUGAACUAUGCAAACAAGGUAAAUUCAACAAUUGGCCCAAAUGAGUUAGGUCACCUUCAUCAUACUUCACAAUAGACAACUGAGUCAUAAAACAGAGAUAAAAGGACAGUGGUGAAAGGGGCCCCAAAUUUUGAGUCAAGAAGACUGGGGUCAAAUCCUGCCUCAGGUUCCAACUUUCUUCCUCCCUUAAACUCUGAGCUUCCAGUUCUUCAUCUGUCAAGCAUGUACGAUGAUAGCAAUGCCUGUAUCUUCAACAGUAUUAUUGCAAAAGUUUCUACAAAAAGAGAGCUCGACAUAUCUCAGCCAUGUGAUGUGAAGAAAAUGGAGAAAGCAAACAAAAAUCAUCUCCGUUCCAGUUCUGGUUCAGCUUCUGACAGAAGGCCAGGAAACUGAGAAAGAACCAACCCUCAGAAGGAUGAGAGAAGCACAGUCCACCAGGCUAACACUGAGCAGCAAACUUGAAGACCACAAGGUGGAAAUUCAGACUGAGGUCUUAUAGAGGGCAUAGGGCGUGGGUCCAUCGUUAAUAAAACAGUAAAGACCCAGGA
Molecule: long non-coding RNA, 792 nt
Organism: Leopardus geoffroyi (Geoffroy's cat)
Lineage: Eukaryota; Metazoa; Chordata; Mammalia; Carnivora; Felidae
Exons: 2
Source: RefSeq, a predicted model, not a curated record